UGGGGAAUAUUGCACAAUGGGCGAAAGCCUGAUGCAGCAACGCCGCGUGAGUGAUGAAGGCCUUCGGGUUGUAAAGCUCUGUCUUUUGGGACGAUAAUGACGGUACCAAAGGAGGAAGCCACGGCUAACUACGUGCCAGCAGCCGCGGUAAUACGUAGGUGGCAAGCGUUGUCCGGAUUUACUGGGCGUAAAGGAUGCGUAGGCGGAUUUUUAAGUGAGAUGUGAAAACCCUAAGCUUAACUUGGGGACUGCAUUUCAUACUGGAAAUCUAGAGUGCGGGAGAGGAGAAUGGAAUUCCUAGUGUAGCGGUGAAAUGCGUAGAGAUUAGGAAGAACACCAGUGGCGAAGGCGAUUCUCUGGACCGUAACUGACGCUGAGGCAUGAAAGCGUGGGUAGCAAACAGGAUUAGAUACCCUGGUAGUCCACGCCGUAAACGAUGAGUACUAGGUGUAGGAGGUAUCGACCCCUUCUGUGCCGCAGUUAACACAAUAAGUACUCCGCCUGGGAAGUACGAUCGCAAGAUUAAAACUCAAAUGAAUUGACGGGGUCAUAGC
Molecule: ribosomal RNA, 554 nt
Filed under: uncultured bacterium
Lineage: Bacteria
Description: partial 16S ribosomal RNA
Rfam family: Bacterial small subunit ribosomal RNA
Source: RNAcentral